AAAUUGAAAUCACUUAGCAUGACAAGAAAGGCGGGCUUUAUUGGGAACACGAGAAUUUCCACCGAAUUGUGUUGGAAUUAAACUGUCCACGACUGAUCCUUUACGUCUUAAGCUCUGAGGUGAUAAUAAUAAAUCCGGCAUUCCAAAAAGACCAAGAAGAAGCUAUGUCCAUUGGAACAAGAUGCAUGGACGCACAAUCAAUGUACACACGUUACAUAGGCACCAUUAGCUUAGCAGCUCAGGCUACUGGAUCUAGCCGAUGAUCUGGUCGAGUGCACCGGUGUUCUUGAGGCCGAGGACAAUGCCGACGCCCAGGAUGUGGCCGACGGCGCCGCACGCCAGCGUGUCGGCGAGCGUGAACCCGGCCGGGUCGCCGGUCUGCAGGCCGGAGUCGCGCGCCUCCAGCUUCAGCCCCG
Molecule: long non-coding RNA, 416 nt
Organism: Phragmites australis (common reed)
Lineage: Eukaryota; Viridiplantae; Streptophyta; Magnoliopsida; Poales; Poaceae
Exons: 2
Source: RefSeq, a predicted model, not a curated record